Molecule: transfer RNA, 83 nt
Filed under: Bacteroidetes bacterium OLB12
Lineage: Bacteria; Pseudomonadati; Bacteroidota
Description: tRNA-Leu
Rfam family: tRNA
About the family: Transfer RNA (tRNA) molecules are approximately 80 nucleotides in length.
Source: RNAcentral
GCGCAUGUGGCGUAAUUGGCAGCCGCGCUAGACUUAGGAUCUAGUGCCGCAAGGCGUGGGGGUUCGAGUCCCUCCAUGCGCAC